AUACGGAGGGUGCAAGCGUUAUUCGGAAUCACUGGGCGUAAAGGACGCGUAGGCGGGUUGGAAAGUCUGAUGUGAAAUCCUACAGCUUAACUGUAGAACUGCAUUGGAAACUUCCAACCUAGAGUAUGGGAGGGGGAGAUGGAAUUAGUGGUGUAGGGGUAAAAUCCGUAGAUAUCACUAGGAAUACCUAAAGCGAAGGCGAUCUCCUGGAACAUUACUGACGCUAAGGCGUGAAAGCGUGGGGAGCAAACGGGAUUAGAAACCCUAGUAGUCC
Molecule: ribosomal RNA, 274 nt
Filed under: uncultured bacterium
Lineage: Bacteria
Description: partial 16S ribosomal RNA
Rfam family: Bacterial small subunit ribosomal RNA
Source: RNAcentral